AUGGGAACGCGAAGAACCUUACCUACUCUUGACAUCCAGAGAACUUUCCAGAGAUGGAUUGGUGCCUUCGGGAACUCUGAGACAGGUGCUGCAUGGCUGUCGUCAGCUCGUGUUGUGAAAUGUUGGGUUAAGUCCCGCAACGAGCGCAACCCGUUAUCCUUUGUUGCCAGCGGUUCGGCCGGGAACUCAAAGGAGACUGCCAGUGAUAAACUGGAGGAAGGUGGGGAUGACGUCAAGUCAUCAUGGCCCUUACGAGUAGGGCUACACACGUGCUACAAUGGCAUAUACAAAGAGAAGCGACCUCGCGAGAGCAAGACGGACCUCAUAAAGUAUGUCGUAGUCCGGAUUGGAGUCUGCAACUCGACUCCAUGAAGUCGGAAUCGCUAGUAAUCGUAGAUCAGAAUGCUACGGUGAAUACGUUCCCGGGUCUUGUACACACCGAGUCGUGGGGAGGC
This 455-nucleotide ribosomal RNA is filed under the name uncultured bacterium. RNAcentral's name for it is "bacterial SSU rRNA". It matches the Rfam family "Bacterial small subunit ribosomal RNA", at positions 954 to 1412 of the family's 1533-position model. The record is from RNAcentral.